GAUGAAGAACGUAGCGAAAUGCGAAAAGUAAUGUGAAUUGCAGAAUUCAGUGAACCAUCGAAUCUUUGAACGCACAUUGCGCCCGCUGGAACUCCGGCGGGCACGCCUGUCCGAGCGUCAUUUCAACCCUCAGGCCCCCCCUUCGCGGGCGGGCCUGGUGUUGGGGCCCGGCCGCUACCCUGCGGCCGUCCCCUAAAUUCAGUGGCGGCCUCGCCGUGAUCCCUUGCGUAGUAAUGCACCUCGCACUGGAGAGCGCCGUGGCCACGCCGUAAAACCCCCAACUAUUCAAUGGUUGACCUCGGAUCAGGUGGGAAUACCCGCUGAACUUAAGCAUAUCAAUAAGCGGAGGA
RNAcentral lists this unclassified non-coding RNA (350 nucleotides) under soil metagenome. RNAcentral's name for it is "partial contains 5.8S ribosomal RNA, internal transcribed spacer 2, and large subunit ribosomal RNA". The stretch from base 1 to 120 matches the Rfam family "5.8S ribosomal RNA", at positions 35 to 154 of the family's 154-position model. The record is from RNAcentral.